This 61-nucleotide transfer RNA is filed under the name Ambigolimax valentianus. RNAcentral describes it as "tRNA-Cys". The record is from RNAcentral. Lineage: Eukaryota; Metazoa; Mollusca; Gastropoda; Stylommatophora; Limacidae.
UAAGUAAUAAUUUAUUAAAAUAUUAAAUUGCAAAUUUAAAAAUGGUUUAUACCUUACUUUU